GUGCGCGCGCGGGGUAGAGAGAGAGUGCUUGUCAGGCACGCGCAGGGAAGGAGGUGUCACGCGUUGAAGUUGUUUGGAUCUGAUACAGGCAAGAUACAAGACGUCCUGCGAGGUCCCGGCAAUACAGAUAACUGCUGACAGACGGCAGCCAAUUUGCUGUCCCGCCACACCAGAGCAAAGCGCUAGAAAUAUGGGCAGAGGAGUGACCCUUUGGCUGUGUCGCCCAUCCAUCCGAACCCGGUGGUGGGCUGGCCACCGUGGUAAUUGCCUGCGAAACAGUGUUUUGACAAGCCAGACGGGUGUAAGCCAUCAUUCUAGCAGCACGGUGAUGAGGUGUCACCUGGAGAGAGCUGUUGAGAGCCCACAUGUUUACAUGCAGCCAGUGUGGUUCCACUGAGACAGCAGUAAUCCAUUAAGAAGGGGGCUGAUCCUGCGAGGGGUUUGAUGAAGUUGAAGCUCCUCUGCCCCAUGCAGAAGGGCGUUUAGCGCUGCCGGCCCCACUGCUAGUGUGCAGGGAUAUAUCACCUGCGUACUCACUGUUUCAUCAUAGCUCUCUGUUUCUCUACUCUACAAACAGUCUUCGUGCUUUAGACUGAGUGUCCAAUUUAAAGGAAAACUCACCUUUUGUCCACUCAAAAUAUAAAAGAAACAAAUAUUUUAUAUGUUUCAAAAAGCUUAACUGAUGUUUCUACCUGGGUUUCCUCUGUUUUUGAAAAGGUCUUUGUUUGUCCUAAAAAGGACUUAAAUCGGUGCAUAAAGACUUAAAGUCAUGGCAUGAAAUGUUGGAUGUACUGCAAAAAACUUUCUCUGUGGUUUCGUUUUGUUUCCCAAUACAAAUAUUGAAAAAUCUUAAAAUAAGAUACAUUUAGGCCUACUUGAGAUACAAAAUGUACAUAUGAAGUUUUUUGUUUUCUGAGAAACUGAACAAUAAUCAAUAAAUACAUUUGUUAUGUUGCUGCUUUA
Carassius auratus (goldfish) is the source of this 963-nucleotide long non-coding RNA. RefSeq lists it as uncharacterized. The transcript has 3 exons. The record is from RefSeq and is a predicted model, not a curated record. Lineage: Eukaryota; Metazoa; Chordata; Actinopteri; Cypriniformes; Cyprinidae.